AUUCAGCUGUGUGACGAAGAGGUGGAGCCUGGCUGCACCUCUCCUAGACCCCAUUUAAGGGGAAGGUUCUCUUUCUGGAGUGUUCUUUUGGUGCAGCUUUCCUUUGCAAACCCUUCUGGUGCAGGUUGAGGUGAGAGGUGCUUCAUGCGCAAAGUAAAGAGGCUUCUGCAUGCAAGGACUGCCAGCUCUUUUGUGGCAGCUCUUUUCACUUUAGAAGUGGGAACCAGCUGAAUCCAGCAGAGAUCACAAAGCAGGCAGUAACCCUUGGCAGAGAACUUGGGGAUGUGAGCUCUUGAAUUAACCCACGUGAAUCAGGAGAUCAGGGACAGACUUCUCAAGUCUCACACACUGCACAG
Molecule: long non-coding RNA, 356 nt
Organism: Centrocercus urophasianus (Greater sage-grouse)
Lineage: Eukaryota; Metazoa; Chordata; Aves; Galliformes; Phasianidae
Exons: 3
Source: RefSeq, a predicted model, not a curated record